This 521-nucleotide long non-coding RNA is filed under the name Coturnix japonica (Japanese quail). RNAcentral describes it as "lncRNA (ENSCJPG00005007811.1)". Lineage: Eukaryota; Metazoa; Chordata; Aves; Galliformes; Phasianidae. The record is from RNAcentral.
UGUGCUUGUAAGUGAUCUCUUGUGGGGCUUCUCACGUCUGUGGUUGCAGGUUUUAGCCACAUCUGAGAGAAGGUGCUGCAGUGCUGAUGAGAGAAUAGACUCUGGCAGGCAAGUGUAUGGGAUGAUGCAUGUGAAGAGGUAACGACAAUCCUCAUAGCCUGGAGGUUGAAGUGGCCUAACAGGAACGCUCUGGGACCCAAGCCCUCCACAGAGAGCAGUCCCCACUGGAGCCCUCCUGCUGCUGAGCGUCCCACAUAGCACCAAGUGCCUCUCCUUGAGGAUCUCAGCUGAGCCCUGAGGCAUGCCUGUGGCAGCACACCUAUAAGCACUGAAAUUGAUCACUGGAAACAGAAAGGUUGUGAGAGCAGGAGAGAUGAAAACUGCUAAUUCUUCAAAUGCAAGUGAGGAGCUGUGAUAAAACCCAACUUUGUGCCUACACCAAUGUCAACCAGCAGACUGCCUACAGAAUGGGGCGCCUCACAGAGCACAACCUGCCAGAAGAACAGGUGUGUAGGUGUUUU